Molecule: ribosomal RNA, 564 nt
Filed under: uncultured Streptococcaceae bacterium
Lineage: Bacteria; Bacillati; Bacillota; Bacilli; Lactobacillales; Streptococcaceae
Description: bacterial SSU rRNA
Rfam family: Bacterial small subunit ribosomal RNA
Source: RNAcentral
UGCAAGUUGAGCGCUGAAGGUUGGUACUUGUACCAACUGGAUGAGCAGCGAACGGGUGAGUAACGCGUGGGGAAUCUGCCUUUGAGCGGGGGACAACAUUUGGAAACGAAUGCUAAUACCGCAUAAAAACUUUAAACACAAGUUUUAAGUUUGAAAGAUGCAAUUGCAUCACUCAAAGAUGAUCCCGCGUUGUAUUAGCUAGUUGGUGAGGUAAAGGCUCACCAAGGCGAUGAUACAUAGCCGACCUGAGAGGGUGAUCGGCCACAUUGGGACUGAGACACGGCCCAAACUCCUACGGGAGGCAGCAGUAGGGAAUCUUCGGCAAUGGACGAAAGUCUGACCGAGCAACGCCGCGUGAGUGAAGAAGGUUUUCGGAUCGUAAAACUCUGUUGGUAGAGAAGAACGUUGGUGAGAGUGGAAAGCUCAUCAAGUGACGGUAACUACCCAGAAAGGGACGGCUAACUACGUGCCAGCAGCCGCGGUAAUACGUAGGUCCCGAGCGUUGUCCGGAUUUAUUGGGCGUAAAGCGAGCGCAGGUGGUUUAUUAAGUCUGGUGUAAAAGGC